Molecule: long non-coding RNA, 5993 nt
Organism: Amphiprion ocellaris (clown anemonefish)
Lineage: Eukaryota; Metazoa; Chordata; Actinopteri; Pomacentridae
Exons: 2
Source: RefSeq, a predicted model, not a curated record
CAAAUGUUAUAAAACAAUGAAUUUACUCCUUGUAAAGAUGUCGAUUUUUAUGUGGAAAUGAUGAGGACUUUUGCGUGCAUUUUGUACAGGUUAUUUUUCCAUGUCAUCUUGUAUAUUAAUACAUUUUUUGUGAUUUUACUACGAGAAGAAAAAACUAUUUCAUUAAUGAAAAAUAAUGAGAAUUUAUUGUUUUGGGGUUUUUUUUGCGUUAACAUGUCUAUGAUAUACUCAUUAUUAUCUGCAGUUUAGCUAGAUCACAUGAUAACAAAUUGUAGUUGCAAGCUAUUUUUAAAAAUCAAUUUUUUUUACAGUGUAACUGGAUGUGUCUGCACACAAAAACACAACAGAAACUUACUGCUACAAAUGCGUUUAUUUUACUAACAGCUGUAAACCUCACUGAACAGAGCAGCUUUUGAGUUCAGUGACAUCAAAACAUGUCACAAGAGCGAAAUCUAAAAGACAUAACCGAGAUGCUGUUGCUGAGGUGAGUUCAAACAGGGAAAAUGUCAAAUGUCUGGCACAAAAGCACUUAAAUGUCCUUGUACACUCAACACAACAUCUCUCGCUGCUGGUGAACAAUAUUGAAUUAGUUCACACAGUCGAACCCACAGAAAAGAAGCACUUUCUUUGAUUUUUGCUGCAGCGUUCACAGCUGACCUUGUCAAAACUGUCACCGGUCGACUCUCACAGCUUCACCUUCACCUCCAGAUGCUGCCAUGUGAUUGGUUCUGUCAGUUUUACUGUAAAAUCCUUUUACUUGGCAGAAUUUACUUCACCAGCUGCAGCUCACAGAGUUUUUAUUCAGUGUUGAACUGGAAACAGCUGCUCUGGUUCUCGAAAAGUUCCUAUAUGAACAUUUGUUUGGACAAAGAGAAAAGUAAAAAGGUGUAACUGUCAGAAUGAACCGACACCAGAAUAUGCAGCAGCUCCAUUGGCAUCAGUUUCUGGCUGUGAAACUGUGAGAUGUCUGUGUUUUGUCGGCCCGUUCUGUUCUUCUGGCUGUUGUCCGUGUCAUGCGACUCGCAAGUUUCUUCUACUUUGCAAAUAGAAAGAGCAACAAAGUUCAUUCGAGGAGACUGGAAAAGUGGAGGAGGCAGAAACUGCAGGACUUUACUCCAGAGACUGUGUCUAAAUCCUGAGUGAGGUCAUUGUUUUGAGCUGUUUUCAGUCACUGUUUGCUUUAGUUUACGUAACAAAACUAGCCGGUUAAGAUUAGCCACCAAAAAGACUUGGUGGGGUUCAGGAAAAGGUGCUGGUUUGAGUUGAAACAUACAAAUAAAGCUCCUGUUGUUUUCUAUGUCACUUGGAUGUUUCCAGACAGUCUGUAAAAAACAUAUUAUCUCACAAAUUUACAAUUUUUUAUAUUUUCUGUGCAACGAGAUUAUUUGUCGUUUUGUAUUUUUUAAAAAAAAGCAACGGUGCCUGAAAAAAAUGUUGAAAAUUACGGAAUACUGUCAUAAUCAAAAAUGGUGAAAAUAACAGCAGUUAUUGGUAAAAUAAUGAUAAUUUUUGGCUGAUUGGAAUGAAGUAAAUUUGUGUUAUUUUACAGUGACAUGUUGUAAAAUAACAAACUAAUAUUUGUUAAAAAUACAGAUUUUUUUUUAUGGUGACAUGACUACUUUAUAAAGAAGUUUUGCCUAUUUUUUCUGUUGAUUGUAUGAUCAGUCCUAACUCUAGUCUGUAAAAAAACAUUAAAAUCUCAUAAAUUUAAGGCCUUUUAUGUUUUCCAUAUUUUAACAAAAGUGGGAAUAUCUGGAAAAUAACAGUUAAAAUUUGAUUUACCAUUUUCCCAAUCCAUAAUAUUUCUUUUUUUUUCAAAUGACAACAAAGAUCUUUAAAAUAAUUAUAGAUUUUUCGCAUUUUAAAUACAGUAAAUAACAAAUGACUGUUUCUGUUUCAGAGGGAAUGAAGACAUAUGUAAAUGAUUAAGAUUUACAAGUGUUGGCAGGCAAUGGUAGAGGAAGUAGACACAUGCUUUGCCUAAGUAAAAUGAAAAAUUCCACACCGUAAAAGCUAGAAAAAUACAUUGAAUUGUCUAUUUUUGUUGGCUCUGGAUGCUAGAUCUUAUAAAUCUCACUUCACAGAACACAAACGUGUUUUUAGAACACUUUCAUGUCAGCAAUAUAUAUAUAUUUGCAAAUCUAAAUCUAGUUGAAGUACAAGUAUUCAAAUAUUAUCACAAAAUUGUGCUUAAAGUAAUAAAAGUUAAAGAAUUCAGUGCAGACUCUUGCCUCAUGUGACAAUUGUACAGUUAUAUUUUCUAUUAUUUGCUCAUCAUUACUCUUGCAUUGAUGUAAAAGCAGGAUUGUACUGUUACCAGUGAUUAAAGUGGACUUAAUUUUAGACUAUUAAUGAAUAUUUCUAUGAUGCAUUAACCUGCUAAUUAUUUUCUACACUAUUUGCUUAUUUAGUUUGUAGAAAUUCAGAAAAUAGCGGCAAAUGCCGUCAUAAUUACCAAAUAAAUAAAUAUAAGACACCUUCACUGUGCUUCUUUUGUCCGAACAGCAGUCCAAACCUCAUAAUGAUUUUUAAAAAUUAUUAAAAUUAUUAAAAUUAUUUACAGAAAUAGCAGCAAAUCAUCACAUUUAGAAGAUGGAACCAUGAAUGUGCUUUUAAAAAAAAGAUUUAAAAAUUAGAUGGUUGCCAAUUUUUUGUAAAUUGACAAAUAAACAUUUUAGUUGCACUUCAAUGAACUGCUUGGCUAGCAUAAUCUAUAACAAAACAUUAUAUUUAUCAUUUCUUCAUAUGUUUUGUGUGCGAAAAUGUUUAGUUUGUAAACUAACUAAAGCAGAUAUAUGCAGUCAAGUAAAAAGUACAAUUGAAGUGUACAAGUAAUAACUUCUAUAAUAACAAUAACUUUAUUUGUUUUAGAACCUUUCAAAACACACAGUUAAAACGAGCUAUUGCAUAAAAGCAACAAGAUAAAACAAUUAAAAUAAAAAAUAAACAGUGAGAUCCCAUAAAAACACAGUGAAAUCGUAAAAAUUAAAGAAGCAGGCCAUAUGGUAAAAGUGAGUUUUAACAUGAACAAAAAAGAAUCAAGCAAAGUACAAGUAACUCAGAUUUGUUAAGUGUAAUAUUUGCAUGAGAAAAAUUCCACCACUGUUUGUAGGAGUACUUUUGUAGCUUUGCAGGAAGUUAAUUUAUCACUUACAGAACUAGAACUUCUCAUCUAACUGUGAUUUGUGAGGAGUUGCUGAAUGAGCUCCAGUUUAAAGCUUCUAUUGUAGUUCUGCAGCUCUGUGUGUGGCCAGAACCUUUUUAUAUUUUUAGAAAGCCAUCAUCUGCAGAGGGAAGAACAUGUGUCCGCUAGUGGACGCUUCAUGACCCGGAGAGUUCAGGGGGUUAUUCAGCACCAGACGUCUAGAAAACUGGAUUCUUUUGCACAUCUUUGCAGGAAAAUGUGGCUGAAUCUGAUGCAGUUUAUGACUUUGUGAUGAAAUAUUGGAAGUUUCGCUGCCAAAACUCUGCAAACCUGGUCCCGUCCGACCAUAGUGGUUCACUGUGAGGUCCGGAGGAUGAGAUCCAGGAUUAGAAACCGUCUCGACCUCCAGCUGAGAGGUCACGGAAACAGAACGGAGGCCCACAUGUGUUUGGGUAAAAACCACCACCUGACUUCCACGUCCAUGUGUGUGGCACUCAAUCUGCCGCCGGGAUGAGCUUCUGCUGUUUGUUGAAAGAGUCCGAGUCCGAAAUUCUCAUCAGUCUAAACACUUUCCAGGAUUUAAAUAGGCAGUUUCCACUCGACUCGCUCUCUCUCUCUCUCUCUCUCUCUCUCUCUCUCUCUCUCUCUCUCUCUCUCUCUCUCUCUCUCUCUCUCUCUCUGCACCUCCUGUUAUAUCUGUUCAGGCUAGUUUCCACCUGUGAGCUGCUUUUAGUCAGAAAUUCUUUGUCUGCAGGAGAUGAAAGCCGAAUAUCUUCCCUCUAACUGAAUGAUUUAUGAGGAAAUUUGCCCCAAUGCAGCGCACCUUUCAACCAUGGCCCUCUGGCACUGAAAAUGUCAAUAUAUUACACCCCAAGUAACCCUAAACCCACGUAUUCGGUGCAUGUUUCCAGCCUGAACAUUUUCCACCACUCCGGGCCUUUAAAUAGACGCAGUUUCCAUCUCGACAGUUCAUCUGCCCACCAACCCCAUUGUUAAAUCUCAACAAAUCAUCCCAGGCUCCAGAUCCAUUAUUAGUUUCCACCACUGGGCUCCUCACAGACAGAAACUUUCCAUCACUUUCCUUUCAUCUGUCUGUAAUUGACCAUUGUUAAACAGAUCGCCGUCGUUUGAAAACCAAGAGUGUUUCCUCAGACGGGCUUCAAACUGUGAAAGAAAGCAGCGAUUUAACCUCCCAGCACGUCUUCACUAGCUUGUUUGCUUUGCCAAUGAUGACACAGGAAUGCUUUUCACUCAUUCUACUGUCUUGGCAGGCCUCCUCUCUUGUUCAGAAAUACGUGCUCACCGAGAGGCUGUUAAAAUAUCGUAAAAUGCAGAAAAACAGUGUGUUCUCUCCCAGCUGCCACCAUGUUGUUUUCAGCUUUUCCACUCUUACCGUCUCUCUGCAGGCAGCCAGAGAGUUCAAAGCGGCAGAAAUAUGCAGGCAGGAAAAUCAUUUUGAGAUCUCGGUUUCGUGUUCAGUUUAUACAGUGGUAUAUAGAUGGUUUGUUUGAAGGCUAAAGCCACGGAACAUUCCUCAAAUAGCCUGCCAGCUACCGCUAAUGGAAUUCAGUUUAAUGGACAGCUGAGUGAAGGUAGCACAGCGAAAGCUUCGAGCGUGGAUUCAGUCUGAGGAAAAACACUCAAACUGCUCAUAUACAUUCAUAAAGUGAAGUAGAAUCAGUAAAAACAGACUAUGAGCUUCAUAUAGGCAGGAUUUAUUACAGGACAGUGCUAUUAGACUCUACAAAACAAUGUUUGGACUCAACCAGAAAUGAACAUUUUUCAUCUUUAAGACAACUUUGAAUGAAAUUACAGUGGGGAAAACAAGUAUUUGACACACCACCGAAGUUUUCCCACUUACAAAGAAUGGAGAGGUCUGUAAUUUUUAUCGUAGAUGAUCACAUUGUAUCGUUUUUAAAAAAUGUAUUUGCAUUUUAUUGCAUGAAAUAAUCUGGCUCUCACAGACCUGUUAGUUUGUCUUUAAGAAGCCUUCCUAUUCUCCACUCAUUACUUGUAUUAAUUGCACCUGUUUGUUUUGUUACCUGUAUAAAAUGUGGACACCUGUCCACAUCAAUCAAUCAGACCUCAACCUCUCCACCAGGGGCAACACCAAAGAGCUGUCUAAGGACACCAGGGACAAAAUUGUAGACCUGCCCAAGGCUGGGAUGGGCUACAGGAUAAUAGGCAAGCGGUUUGGUGAGGCGGCAACAACUGUUGGCACAAUUAUUAGAAAAUGCAAGAAGCUCAAGAUGACUAUCAGUCUUCCUCGGUCUGGGGCUCCAUGCAAGAUCUCGCCUCGUGGGGUAUCAGUGAUCAUGAGAAAGUUCUUUGGGAAGCUCUGACUGCAGUUGCUGAAUACAGUCAGUGUGUGGGAACCACGGAAACGGUGACGGGACGAAUCACACAGGAGCGCUCUGUGACGUCAGCAUGACGUAUGACAUCAUCAGCCGCCGUGGUGUGAUGGAACAGGCCAGGCGUUUGAGAGUCCUGGGAAUGAUUUCCACUUUCCGAGCCUGACGGAGGGAGUAAACGAGGUAUUAGCAGGUCGUGAUGCGGGCCUGUAAAAAUGCAGCGUGGACAGACACCAAGUCUGUCACCUCCACACGUCCUGAAACUGGAAAACUACCAGCUGACAUGCUUCUGUGGCAUUGUGAUGUCACAGUGCAAGUGUGGAAGCAGCAGCAACGUAUUGAGGUCAUGAAUAAAUCCUGACUGGGACGGUGGAGGAAAACUUGACCUGGAAUUACCAUAAGAGUCUGAGCUAAGAGCUAAAUAAGGAGCAUCACUGCAUCACACUGUUCAACAUCACCAAGGAAUUCAGCCAAAUAAACUCUGCUUCUCUAGUUCA